RNAcentral lists this unclassified non-coding RNA (340 nucleotides) under Hevea brasiliensis (rubber tree). Lineage: Eukaryota; Viridiplantae; Streptophyta; Magnoliopsida; Malpighiales; Euphorbiaceae. The record is from RNAcentral.
AUACAAACCCUAAUUUGUCAUUUCCAAAUAAAUUAGGCAUCAUGUAAAAUUUGUAUCGAAACUUUCUAAUGUAAAUGAUACUUUAGCCACACAUUAAACCGAACCCAUAAAUACUAAUGCAGAUUAUUCAAGCCAGAUUGUGAGGCAAAAAUUAGUCCAAAACCUGCUUUAGAAGAUGCUCCGCAAGAAGAAAAUUCGACGGGGUUUCCCCCUGGAAGGGCAGCAAGGAUAAAAUUAUAUGCUUAUGCGCAUGCUGAUGCAGGCCGUUCCAGGAAGUCUUAGGCCAGUCACAAUCAUACUUUGCUCGUGGUUACUGUAUUGGUUAUUCCAUGUGAAUAGU